CCUACGGGAGGCAGCAGUAGGGAAUAUUGCUCAAUGGGGGAAACCCUGAAGCAGCAACGCCGCGUGGAGGAUGAAGGUUUUCGGAUUGUAAACUCCUUUUGUUAGAGAAGAUAAUGACGGUAUCUAACGAAUAAGCACCGGCUAACUCCGUGCCAGCAGCCGCGGUAAUACGGAGGGUGCAAGCGUUACUCGGAAUCACUGGGCGUAAAGAGCGCGUAGGCGGGUUAGCAAGUCAGAUGUGAAAUCCUAUGGCUUAACCAUAGAACUGCAUUUGAAACUGUUAUUCUAGAGUAUGGGAGAGGUAGGUGGAAUUCUUGGUGUAGGGGUGAAAUGCGUAGAGAUCAAGAGGAAUACUCAUUGCGAAGGCGACCUGCUAGAACAUAACUGACGCUGAGGCGCGAAAGCGUGGGGAGCAAACAGGAUUAGAUACCCGGGUAGUC
RNAcentral lists this ribosomal RNA (440 nucleotides) under uncultured bacterium. Its description in RNAcentral is "partial 16S ribosomal RNA". It matches the Rfam family "Bacterial small subunit ribosomal RNA", at positions 338 to 795 of the family's 1533-position model. The record is from RNAcentral.